RNAcentral lists this transfer RNA (75 nucleotides) under Sulfolobus sp. RNAcentral's name for it is "tRNA-Val". It matches the Rfam family "tRNA". From Rfam's summary of the family: Transfer RNA (tRNA) molecules are approximately 80 nucleotides in length. Their secondary structure includes four short double-helical elements and three loops (D, anti-codon, and T loops). The record is from RNAcentral. RNAcentral also lists the same sequence under 5 other names. Lineage: Archaea; Thermoproteati; Thermoproteota; Thermoprotei; Sulfolobales; Sulfolobaceae.
GGGCCCGUCGUCUAGCCUGGUUAGGACGCCGCCCUGACGCGGCGGAGGUCCUGGGUUCAAAUCCCAGCGGGCCCA